This is a long non-coding RNA of Hemicordylus capensis (graceful crag lizard), 1533 nucleotides long. RefSeq lists it as uncharacterized. The transcript has 2 exons. NCBI's taxonomy places the organism in Eukaryota, Metazoa, Chordata, Lepidosauria, Squamata, Cordylidae. The record is from RefSeq and is a predicted model, not a curated record.
UAAAUGCAUUGACGCUACCCAAGAGGGAAGCAGGUCUUUCAAGUUCAAAGAUUUCUAACUGAACUAAUAAAAGAAAACAUGGGGACUUCAUAGUGGAAUGAAGCGUGCGGGGCUUGUUGAUGCGAGCUUGUGUUUAAAAGAGCUAACGAAGUAUCUGGAUGCAUAGUAAUGUUCAUUUCCAUUUUAACAGCAUGGCUAGGUCCCUUCCUUUCCAUCAAACAGGACCCAGCCAGGAGGAUGAGAUUUCCAACUAUAACUGACACUGGUUCACAUCCUUCUAGAGCAGCUGUGAGGAAGCAUUAGAUGAGAUGAAGUUUCAAAGGCAAACCUAACUGGCUCCCUCUUGUGUGUGCUCAGUACACAAUGCAGCUUACAAGCCAGAAUGCUGACACCUGUGUCUUGCUUCCUGAAUAUCAUAACAGAUCAUGAAAUUGGACUUGAGAAUCCCCAUGGAUCAGUCUGAUGUCAGCAUAGGGUUGCUUCCUGCAUCACACAAUUUCAGCUUGGAAAGUCUGGUUGAUUUCCCAAUCAGCUAUAUAAGGAUAAAGGAGCAGAUUACCAUUGCCUCGGCUACUCAACAUAUUCAGCCAAUCAGGCUCUUUGUAAACCAAAGACAAAGAAUGCAUAUGAUCAAAACACAUUGGAACUCUUUUUUAAAAAAUGCUCGUUAUUCCUGUGCCUAUCAUUUGAACAUUUCUAGUCUCAAAAUACUUACACAUCAGAUAGAAAGCUAAAAUUUGAUACAUACACAAGUCCAAGACACUGGUUACUAGAAACAUCUGAAAUGGGUUAUUUUUAUCUUUCUCUCCUGAAACCUGGUAGAAAAAGGCUGCCUCAUGACAAUCUCACACAAGCCCUCUACAGGCCCUCUACAGAGAAGCCCACUAUAAGAAUGAAAAGCAGGUAAAGGGAAUCAGGACUGCUCCCAGCACAUCUCAGGCACAUCAGUCAUCUUGCCGCCAGCAAUUGACACGCUUGGGGUGUUCGUCUGAAGAGGCAAAUGCCUCAAGUGUGAUUGCUGCUAUUUCUGUGAUCAUCAUCUGGUGAUCAUGCCCCAGCCUGCUGAUCACGGAAAUGAUAGCAAUCAUGCAAAUGAGGCAGAAACUCAGGUUUGCGCUGGUCAAGAAAUGGUUAAUAGGGUCUAUAAGCUGCCUUGCUGUUAAUUGCUAGUUGUCAAAGUCAUAAAUCUCACUAGUCUGGCUGGGAUGCCAGCGAGAGGCCCCUCUCUAAUAUCUCCAGCUAGCCAAGCGUGUAAACUAACAUUUUCAAGGGCACAUCUGGAGAAGGAGUAGAUAGUCGCUUAUCAAUAGGUAGAAGAAAAGGCUCAAUUAUAAUAGAAGAAUGUUGUCUAACUAGCAAUGAUUAUAAUAAUUGUAAUAUGACGGUUAAGUGAUGCUGACCAAUGAGGAGUGUAUCUACUGAAUGUAAUUGAGUUGUAUAUAAGAACUGAAACUGGAAUGUAAUCUUUAUCUCAGGUUGGGAGCGAUUCCACUGAGAUCAAAUUGCCUGGCAAUAAAUCUGUUUUUUCCUCAA